AGGUAAUGGAAGCAGUCUGUGAUGUUUUUUUUUUUUAGUUAACAUCAGCUGUCUGCAGCUUAGUUCCAGCACAAACAGCACAAAUCUGCUGCUGCAUAGUUCACAGUAACGGACUCGAAGCAACUGGUAACCUGUUCGCCAUUUUCUGUGAGUGUGUGUGAUCAGAGUCCGGGAAUGAGAGCAGAAACAGUUAGUUGAUAGUCAGCAGCUGAACUCAGAGUCGUUGUUACUGUGGAUCCACUUACUGAUGACUGAAGGCAGUUUGCCUCGAUUAGACUGUGGAGGAGGCGGCGAGGAGCCGCUGCUAUGUCGCUCACUGAGCUACAAAAUGCGGCCUCAACAUAAACCUCGAAAUAAAAAUACUGCGUCACAAACCUCUGGCUCUCUUCUAACAGGAAGUAGGCUAUUGUUCACUGUUUACACCCACAGAGGAGUGGUGUUACUCAGAGACUGACUGGAUUAAACGGACCAAAAGUUUUUAUGAACUUUUAUUGCUACACUUUAUUAAAUUUAAACAUAAUCAUUUAAAGCUGAUUACAUAUAAGUCACAAUUGUUACUGACUUUCUCACUGACACGCCCAGCGGAGCUGCUGUCUGCAACAUGAGUGCUGACAUCAUCAGUCUGUCAUCAAUGUAGAGACAGAGCCGGUGAUCUCAGUAAGAGAUCACCGGCUAUACAUAUCUAGAAAUACUGAGUUUGUGGACAUCAGGGCAGCUUUUUUCCUACAUGACUGAUUCUAAACAUCACUGAAUAUAUUUUUGAGGAGUUGUUGAACAUCUACAGUAGUCUGGAUGUGCUCUGAUAGCAUUUUCCACUAAAAUAUUCAAAAUUCUUAAAUACAGAUAAAAUGUUGCUGAACCAUUACAUUUAAAGAAGAUGUCUCGAUGUAAACGUGAACUACAUCUACAGGCAAACAGAAUCAUGAUCACAUGAAGAAUGUUUCCAGUGAUAAAUGAUUAAUCUGUGAAUAUUUAUUGGCUUGAAAUGAAAAUGAUAAAUCAGAGUCCUUUUCAUGGAUCUUUGUUGAUCUCUCUCAGAAAUAUAUUAAAUCAAAGUGUGUUUAUAAAAAUCAUUUUAGGAUUCUCUGUAGUAACAAUGGUUUAAUGUUGUAAUUUUAAAGCUGUGAGCUGAAAUAUGUGUGUGAAAUAAUCAGCUGUCAUUUGUUCCAUUGGUUCAUUUUCUGCAGGCAGACUGCAGACUGGGAAACACCAGUCCUUCUUAGUCCUUCUACUCACAACAUAUAAGAAUCUAACUGGAACACGUCCUCUUACUGAGGUCUGCACUACGAAGCAGGAUUUGAUCUUAUCAAGGUAAUGUCAGGGUUCUUACAGGGGUAUGUUCCCAAUGGUAACUUAUGCAGCUAUUUUUCAGUCUCACUGACCAAACCUUUUCAAACAUGCUGGACUUGAAACAUGAAAAACAGACAUUGGUUUUGAAUUGUGGUUCAGCAGAAUCACGUUUCAGUUUUUAGCCCUGUUUUGGUUCAUCAUCCUGUUGGAGGAUCUGUGACCUGUGACUGAGACAAAGCUUUCUGAUACUGGGCAGCACAUUUCACUGUACACUAUCUAGGGGUUGUUGUUUUUUUGUUGUUGUUGUUAUUUUUGUUUGUUUUUUGCAGGAACACUUAACUUUUACAAAUAAUUAGAUUCAUCCAUUAUUUAUUACUUAUAUUUAUCCGACAUGAUUCCUUCCAAAUGUCUGAAGUAAUGCUGGUACCUACUCUAACUGGAAGAAGUAGUCUAUAAACAGAUUUGUUAAUAUUUGAACCUUUGCAGUACAAAUGUUCAUAUUUGUACAAGCAGGCUGGGUGUGGCUGUGUCUGUUUGUUUUACAGCAUCAGAGCCAUAGCAGGAAGUUGUUGCUGUUGUAAUCAUUGGCGUGUUCCACACAGUGGAGAACCAAAGAGUGAAGAAGUUCUUUGGAAGAAGCUGAAUGAACAGUCUGUGUCAGUGUCUUCAGACGGCUGCAGGUUGUUACCAGCUUCAUUAAAUGUUUCUCAUUCUGCAUUUCAUAUCACAUCUGCCACUGUUUGAUCCUCUUUAACAGAGGAGAUCAGACUGUAAUGUGAUAUUUAUUAAGACUCAGUUUUCUUGUGAACUCUGAACAGAUUAGAUUAGAUUAGAUACAGCCUCACAAAUCAAACUAUAAACUAUAAAACGAGCUCUGAUUUGAGUUCAGAUGGUUCAGAUGCUGGACUCCAGUCUGACUGAUACUCAAGUUGUUUUAUGGAGCGCCAAGAUUCAUGUUCAUUUGUUAAAUAUUCUUCAUAAUUCAUGGAGAAUAUUUAACAGGAAUCAGUGAGCGCCCCCUGCUGGUUCCCUCUGAGUGCUGCUUGUCAGUCUGCAGUGAUACUGCAGGAUUGAUUUAUGGAGGCUUUGAGGGAUUCACUGCAGUUCUUCUGUAGUUAGUCCCUCACAGCUACAUAGUCAGUCACAGUGCCACUGAUACGAGCUACACCAGUUCUAUAGUCCCUACAAACAACACAUGAAAUACUAACAGGCUGAAAAGGAGACCAGGGAGUGUGAAUGAUCACAUAUGUGACAUGUGAUGUGUGGAUAGAUGGAAAAUCUGUAAUAAAUACAAGGUAAAAUUAAAUAGCCUGUCUCUCUGCUGAUAAUGUGUGGAUAUAGGGGUAAUGAUAAAACUGGAAAGAUGUCAUUCUAUGUUCUGUUAAUGAAAACUCAUUUUUAUCUUCAUCUAAAUAAACUUCUGUUUCAAUAAGCACAAAAUCUGCAUAUAUAGAAUCAUGAGCAAAUUGAAUUAAAUGAAUAAUUGAUUUUUUCAAAACCAUUUAAAAACUCUGCUAACUGACACAAUGUGAUGUUUUAUUCUUCCCCGGAGGCUCCAUGUCUACCACCAUUAUUUAUUUUCAUAGAAAUCUGUCAGAAAUGUUAAUUCAGGAUUGUUUUGAUUACUGUAUCUCUCUAAUAAAACCACAGUAACUUCUGCAGCUGCAGCUUUUGUUGUGAAAGUGGAGUUUCAGAACUGAAGUUUGAUUCAAUCAAUCAAUCUUUAUUUAUAAAGCACUUUUCAUACAAAAAAUGUAGCACAAAGUGCUUUACAUGGUUAAAAGCAGCCCCCCCAACACACACACACACACACACACACACACACACACUUACUUAAAGAGUAAAAUUGGGCUGGGUACACAUGAGCCAAGUGAGGAAACACUAUCACAGGGAGCCGUCUGCACCUGGAGCCGGUCACAGACCGCAGCCUCCAGGCUGGGCACACAGCAGGAGGGAGGCAAAGAAGCCCCCCAGCCAGGCUGAGAGGACCCACAGAGCCCCAGCAGCCACGGUCAAUCACAGCCCCAGUGCAGAGAGCCC
Long non-coding RNA from Oreochromis aureus, 3330 nucleotides. The record is from Ensembl. Lineage: Eukaryota; Metazoa; Chordata; Actinopteri; Cichliformes; Cichlidae.